GUUUCUUUGCCAAUACUUUAAGAAGAGAUCUGUCGUGAAGAUCAGCACUGACUUUGACAUGAGUGACCCGGUCAUCCAACAACAAAUCUUAAAGCAGCUGGAGGCAAAGAUGAAAAGCAAGGGGAUCAGUGACUUCAAAAUCCGCUGGAAGACGUCAGGACGAGUUUCACGCAAGACUGAAGACAACACACAAAUCCAGUUUGGACCAAAUAAGUACACACAAGUCAAAACAAAGGAGGU
Molecule: long non-coding RNA, 240 nt
Organism: Micropterus salmoides (largemouth bass)
Lineage: Eukaryota; Metazoa; Chordata; Actinopteri; Centrarchiformes; Centrarchidae
Exons: 4
Source: RefSeq, a predicted model, not a curated record